This 366-nucleotide ribosomal RNA is filed under the name uncultured eukaryote. Its description in RNAcentral is "partial 18S ribosomal RNA". It matches the Rfam family "Eukaryotic small subunit ribosomal RNA", at positions 592 to 976 of the family's 1831-position model. The record is from RNAcentral.
CAAUAGCGUAUAUUAAAGUUGUUGCAGUUAAAAAGCUCGUAGUUGAAUUUCUGGUGGGCGCGCCGGUCUUCCAAGUGUUGUACUGGGCGCAGUCCGCCAUCCUUGUGGAGAGGGCUCGCAUUGAGUUGCGUGUCGGAUCUGCAUCAUUUACUGUGAAAAAAUUAGAGUGUUUAAAGCAGGCUGUCGCUUGAAUACAUUAGCAUGGAAUAAUAAGAUAGGACUUCGGUUUAUUUUGUUGGUUGCGAACCGAGGUAAUGAUUAAUAGGGAUAGUUGGGGGUAUUCAUAUUUAAUUGUCAGAGGUGAAAUUCUUGGAUUUAUGAAAGAUGAACAACUGCGAAAGCAUUUACCAAGGAUGUUUUCAUUAA